GCGUGGCCUCCUACAGGAGGCAGCAGUGGGGAAUUUUGGACAAUGGGCGCAAGCCUGAUCCAGCCAUGCCGCGUGUCUGAAGAAGGCCUUCGGGUUGUAAAGGACUUUUGUCAGGGAAGAAAAGAACAGGGUUAAUACCUCUGUUUGAUGACGGUACCUGAAGAAUAAGCACCGGCUAACUACGUGCCAGCAGCCGCGGUAAUACGUAGGGUGCGAGAGUUAAUCGGAAUUACUGGGCGUAAAGCGAACGCAGACGGUUACUUAAGCAGGAUGUGAAAUCCCCGGGCUCAACCUGGGGACUGCGUUCUGAACUGGGUGACUAGAGUGUGUCAGAGGGAGGUAGAAUUCCACGUGUAGCAGUGAAAUGCGUAGAGGUGUGGAGGAAUACCGAUGGCGAAGGCAGCCUCCUGGGAUAACACUGACGUUCAUGCUCGAAAGCGUGGGUAGCAAACAGGAUUAGAAACCCCAGUAGUCCGA
This 477-nucleotide ribosomal RNA is filed under the name uncultured bacterium. RNAcentral's name for it is "bacterial SSU rRNA". It matches the Rfam family "Bacterial small subunit ribosomal RNA", at positions 329 to 798 of the family's 1533-position model. The record is from RNAcentral.